GGCACUAUGUGUCCUGCGUUUCAUUUAAUUUUUCCUCCAUUCGUACGGGCUUAAUAUUUUGUUGGGUUGUUUCACAUCUUCACUGAGCUCAGUAAAUUCUCUUUAAUGAAACUCCACGUUUUUAUUAGGUUAUAGCAUUUUUAUCUCUUCCCUUCCUGUUUCCAAAGCUAAUGUCGAUUCAUGUUUUGAAUACGGUCUUUCAUCUUCUUUUUCACUGUCCGAAACGAAAAAAGUAACCGAUCCUCUUUAAACCCUCCAUUAAUCGAUCACCCACGCUCCUUGGUUCAUUUUUAGAUUGAUUAUGAGGGGCAUGAGAGUGUCCGAGAGCGAUAGAUUGUGGGAGAGGAGAGAACAACUGGUGCUGAUGAGGCCAGAGCUUCGUCGCUUUUGUAUUAUGUUUGGUGAAGACAGCGCUGGUAAAGAAGUUCAAGAAGGUAUCCCGUCAUCUCUGUGUUUCUACCUAUGCGCCCUAUUGGAUCUGAUCCGCCUGAUUUGAGAUUAGCGUUUAGUCAAGAUCUAUCAGGCUUCUUGAAUUGCAAGCUAGGUGAGGAGAAGCCAGAUGUUUGUGUUUGAAAGAUUCAUGAGUUCUUAGGUCUGAUGCUUCCAAGAUUGCAUAAAGAGGUUCCAUUAUAAUAUCAUUAUCUCAGACUAUAUAAAUAGAAUUGAAAUUCUUAAAGAUUGUACAUAGUUGUUUAAGUUUUGACUUUUGCUUAUAUUUGUGAUGUUAUGUUCGGAUAUGUUUCCUUUUGUAUGUCUACACACAUGUUUUAUGUGUAUACACACACCUUUCAACUUCGAUAAUGUUCUUCACAUGUUCUGGAAUUAUGUUUUUUGAAUUCUCUCAGCAUUCUGUUUUAUGUUGUGUAUACACCUUUGAAUGCUUUUUUUUGUCAACACCUUUGUAUGCUUAGAUCGUAGAAAUACAAAAACUAUUAAAUCAUGGAAA
Molecule: long non-coding RNA, 946 nt
Organism: Raphanus sativus (radish)
Lineage: Eukaryota; Viridiplantae; Streptophyta; Magnoliopsida; Brassicales; Brassicaceae
Exons: 2
Source: RefSeq, a predicted model, not a curated record